GAUGAACGCUGGCGGCGUGCCUAAUACAUGCAAGUCGAGCGAACAGACGAGGAGUUUGCUCCUCUGACGUUAGCGGCGGUCGGGUGAGUAACACGUGUAUAACCUACCUAUAAGACUGUGAUAAUUUUGGGAAACCGGAGCUAAGACCGGAUAAUAUAUUGAACCGCAUUGUGCAAUAGUGAAAGUCGGUUUUUCUUUCACUAAUAGAUGGAUCCGCGCCGCAUUAGGUAGUUGGUAAGGUAACGGCUUACCAAGGCAACGAUGGGUAGCCGACCUGAGCGGGUGGUCGGCCACACGGGGAGUGAGACACGGUACAGACUCCUACGGGAGGCAGCAGUAGGGAAUCUUACGGAAUGGGCGAAAGCCUGACGGAGCAACGCGGCGUGAGUGAUGAAGGACUUCGGAUCGUAAAACUCUGUUAUUAGGGAAGAACAAAUGUGUAAGUAACUAUGCACGUAUUGACGGUACCUGAUCAGAAAGCCCCGGCUAACCACGUG
RNAcentral lists this ribosomal RNA (497 nucleotides) under uncultured bacterium. RNAcentral's name for it is "partial 16S ribosomal RNA". It matches the Rfam family "Bacterial small subunit ribosomal RNA", at positions 28 to 507 of the family's 1533-position model. The record is from RNAcentral.